RNAcentral lists this ribosomal RNA (252 nucleotides) under uncultured bacterium. RNAcentral's name for it is "partial 16S ribosomal RNA". It matches the Rfam family "Bacterial small subunit ribosomal RNA", at positions 793 to 1055 of the family's 1533-position model. The record is from RNAcentral.
GUCCACGCCGUAAACGAUGAGUACUAAGUGUCGGGAAAACCCGGUGCUGCAGUUAACGCAUUAAGUACUCCGCCUGAGUAGUACGUGCGCAAGCAUAAAACUCAAAGGAAUUGGCGGGACCUCGCACAAGCGGUGGAUCAUGUUGUUUAAUUCGACGAUACGCGAAGAACCUUACCAGGCCUUGACAUACCGAGCAAAGCUAUAGAGAUAUAGCGGAGGUUAUCUGGGAUACAGGUGGUGCAUGGUUGUCGU